ACCUAUCUGCAGUCGAGCGAACUGAUUAGAAGCUUGCUUCUAUGACGUUAGCGGCGGACGGGUGAGUAACACGUGGGCAACCUGCCUGUAAGACUGGGAUAACUUCGGGAAACCGAAGCUAAUACCGGAUAGGAUCUUCUCCUUCAUGGGAGAUGAUUGAAAGAUGGUUUCGGCUAUCACUUACAGAUGGGCCCGCGGUGCAUUAGCUAGUUGGUGAGGUAACGGCUCACCAAGGCAACGAUGCAUAGCCGACCUGAGAGGGUGAUCGGCCACACUGGGACUGAGACACGGCCCAGACUCCUACGGGAGGCAGCAGUAGGGAAUCUUCCGCAAUGGACGAAAGUCUGACGGAGCAACGCCGCGUGAGUGAUGAAGGCUUUCGGGUCGUAAAACUCUGUUGUUAGGGAAGAACAAGUACGAGAGUAACUGCUCGUACCUUGACGGUACCUAACCAGAAAGCCACGGCUAACUACGUGCCAGCAGCCGCGGUAAUACGUAGGUGGCAAGCGUUAUCCGGAAUUAUUGGGCGUAAAGCGCGCGCAGGCGGUUUCUUAAGUCUGAUGUGAAAGCCCACGGCUCAACCGUGGAGGGUCAUUGGAAACUGGGGAACUUGAGUGCAGAAGAGAAAAGCGGAAUUCCACGUGUAGCGGUGAAAUGCGUAGAGAUGUGGAGGAACACCAGUGGCGAAGGCGGCUUUUUGGUCUGUAACUGACGCUGAGGCGCGAAAGCGUGGGGAGCAAACAGGAUUAGAUACCCUGGUAGUCCACGCCGUAAACGAUGAGUGCUAAGUGUUAGAGGGUUUCCGCCCUUUAGUGCUGCAGCUAACGCAUUAAGCACUCCGCCUGGGGAGUACGGUCGCAAGACUGAAACUCAAAGGAAUUGACGGGGGCCCGCACAAGCGGUGGAGCAUGUGGGUUUAAUUCGAAGCAACGCGAAGAACCUUACCAGGUCUUGACAUCCUCUGACACUCUAGAGAUAGAGCGUUCCCCUUCGGGGGACAGAGUGACAGUGGUGCAUGGGUUGUCGUCAGCUCGGUGUCGUGAGAUGUUGGGUUUAG
Molecule: ribosomal RNA, 1057 nt
Filed under: Bacillus sp. (in: firmicutes)
Lineage: Bacteria; Bacillati; Bacillota; Bacilli; Caryophanales; Bacillaceae
Description: bacterial SSU rRNA
Rfam family: Bacterial small subunit ribosomal RNA
Source: RNAcentral